Molecule: non-coding RNA, 190 nt
Filed under: pig gut metagenome
Source: RNAcentral
AAUUGGUGUCGCCCAUAAGGCGACUAAAGGGAAACGGGUGCGACUCCCGUACAGUCCCGCUGCUGUGUGUUUCAGCCCAAUUUUCCGGCACUGACAGGCGGAAGAGUCUGCCGAUGCGUCAAGUCACUGGGGUUAUCUCCGCCCCGGGAAGGCGCCGGAAAAUGAAACGAGUCAGAAGACCUGCCUUUUC